RNAcentral lists this long non-coding RNA (2399 nucleotides) under Equus caballus (horse). RNAcentral describes it as "lncRNA (ENSECAG00000053541.1)". The record is from RNAcentral. Lineage: Eukaryota; Metazoa; Chordata; Mammalia; Perissodactyla; Equidae.
GUAAUUUAUUUACCUAGUUCCCUGAGAGUAGAGUUUCUGGUGGUUUCUUGCCUUUUCCUAUAGUGACUGUCCUCUUUCAUAGAUCUUUCUAUUCCUGCCUGUGCUCCGCACGAUAAACUAUUCAUGGUAAUUUGGGCUAAUUGUUACGAGCAGCAGCUGUUGAACCCAAACACCGCUGCAGGGUGGGAAGAAGCUCAGGUGUCGGGCUGGAGCUUCACCUCUCCAGUCGGAUCCUCCCCUCACGUGCUUGGUGUUCAGUAAAUUGUGGUUUCUUUCUUCCUUGAUAGGGGAGGUGUUGCUGCAAGGAUCAUGAGUGCAUCCCAUAUUAAUUAGGGAGAUUGUAAGAGGUUUUGCAGGACUCCUUGGAUAUAUAAUCAGAGACUAGAAUGGUGCUUUGCCAUUGCAGCCUAUUUGUUUUCCAGUUAAUAAGGAGAAAGAAUUGGGCCGUCUGGCUGAUACACUUGUUACUAAUUAGCUGUGUGGCAAUACCCUCUUUUGGGCGUUAGCUUCCCUAUGUACAAAAGAAGGUUUCACUAGCUCCAGUCCUGGAGGGCACACGGCCCAGCCCCGGACAGCCUUUUGCCUUGCAGGAACGCAGACCCAGUGAUGCCAGGUCUAAAUUUUCAAGAAAAGCUAGAAAUCCAGAUUAUGUAGAGAUUCAAUAUUUAAAAGUUGGGAACUUUUUUUUUUAAGUCAAUUGCUGGAGCACCAGUUUGCUGUCUCUGAAUUAAUGUGAUUUUAAGCAUUUCUCGUAGUGACCUGUUGAAGCAUUGUGUCUGAGUGCAGAGACGGAACUCUUGAAGAACGGAAGAGAUUUCAGAGAAAAGUGACAAAUUAAAUGAUACGUCUUGUGGCAAAGUGACCAGCACACAGUAAUCAUUCAGUUCGUGUUUGUUUAUGAAAAAUCACUUAAAAACGAAAAGACGAGGAGGAGGAAGGAGCCAAGAGCUGGCCGCCACCGUCUUCAGUCACAUUGGUCACCUGGAAAGCAGAAUCCUAUCAAUGGAAUUGUAUUGUUCCCUUGCUUUCAACAUUGUGGCCAUCUACUCAUCCUGUCUCCAGGAAUUGCUUAGCUGUAUUUCUCGCAGUAGCUGAAGAAACUGAGGCUCAGGGCUGCCUUGCUAGCCAGCAGCUGGGCUUAGCUUUGAUUCCAGUCUGCCUUGGCUACCACGGCUGACCUCUUGCCACGCCACCGUUGCCUCUCUCUCUCCAUGCUCCAUGGGCACCGCGAUGCCAGCAGUCUCCCUGAGGAGCCAGGCCUCGGGCUGUGCAGGCCCCUUGCAUUAAGAGACCCUCUGCAUAUCUUCUUUCCCUCCCACUGGUAUGUCAUUAAUAAAUGUGCACGAUGUGCCUUCAGCACUGCAGAGUGUGGUGGAGUGAAAGCAACUGGAUGGGAUGGGUGCCAGGGGCCCGGAGGGCCACGCUGAGGAGUGGGGGCUCUGUACUGGUGGCAGUGGGCAGCCACCGGUGGGUUUUAAGCUGGGCAUAACCAGUUAGGAAGCUAGUAGAUCAGGGGAGAAAUGUCAAGGUCCAGAAUAAGGCAGAUCACUGAGGGGUGAGACAGGCUGGGUUGAGGGGUGUUAAGGCGAGGGAACCACGGGAGCUGGUUGAGGAGUGGAGGGCCUGACUGAGUUCCAUGUUUCGCGCGUCUCCUGUGUGCCACGAGAUGGGGCUGUCAUGGAAAGCAGACCCCGUCCCUGCUCUCAGGAAGCUUCCUUUCCAGAAGUCGACAAUGUGACUGCAUGAACUCACAGGAUAAAUUAGAUUGUGGUAAGUGCUGUGACAAGAUGACACUGGGCAGUGGGUUGCAGCGGCCUGGGGGACAUUUGAGCCAAGACCUCAGUGGUCAGCAGGAGCCAGCCACGCAGUGUUCCAGGCUGAGGGACGGAGAUGCCAAGGCCUUUAGGGAAGGCCCGUGGACCCAAGUGGCUGGAGGGGCGCUUGGCCUCCACGAUGCGGGCAGGAGGCGCGGGGAGAGGCCGUGGAAGGCGAUGCGUUUGGGUUUGGACGUCGCAGGUGCCCGAGAGACAUUCAAGUGGAGCUGACUUGGGCUGUCUAGAAGAGAGGCGACGGGUGGCUCCGAAGGAAGAGGCCUGACACCGAGUCCGGAAGAACGUCGCAUCGAGGCAGAGGGCGCAGGACGAGCCAGCGACAAAGGCGGGGGCGGAGCAGCGGAGGGGUAGGCGCGAGGCAACGGCAGCCUUGGCCGCGCGGGCCACGCUCAGAACUUGGCAAGCCCUCUUUCCCAAACACUCGCCCCCAGCCGCCCCGGCCUCCCGGCGAACAACGCCUGUGCCUAAUCGCGCCGGGGACACCUAAUCCCGCCGCGCGCCGCUCCAGCCCGCGCCGCGCUCCCGAGGGCAGGGGCUCCAAGGGCGAGGGCUCCUGACGGCCUGGGC